UUAAAGGCGGGUGCCACCAUACCCAGCCCAUGUGGUUUUCUUAAGUGAAGAGUCACUACUUCAGCUGAAUGUGUGCUGAGCAUGUGCAGGGCUUCCUCAGGUGUCCACAUCAGUUUCACUAAGUGUCAUAUGUAGGCAGCUCAGAACAAAUUGCAACAACCCUCUUGUUACUAAGGGAUUUUUCUUUUUCAGUUUAUCUAGUAAAUGGUUUGAAAAUGCUCUUUUACAUGUGAAAAAUAAGCCCAUUGUGAUUUUCCUAUCUAAAAUGAGUUCUAGAAGACAAAAAUGUACAUUCCAGCUCUAGCAUUAUGCAUAUUCUAGCUCUAGUGUUUCUGGGUUUUAUAUCCAGUGCACAGGAAACUUUCACUACCUCAGGUUGAUUACUUCCCAUUUGUUCCCUAAGCUGCAUGGAAGGGGAGAGAAAGUAAAGGGAGUGCUGGGAAGAGGAAGCUAGAGAAAUAAGAGGAAACAGCUGGAAGCUAAGAGGGUGGAACUCAGAUAAGUUCAAUAAAACAAAAUACAGAAGGCAGGGUCAGGCCCUAGGAGCAGAAAGCUAAUUACUUCUGUCAGUGGAACAGAGUCAUUUGAAUACUUUGUUAAGAGACCCCAGAUACUUUUAAAGGGGAAAAAAUCUGCAUUCUUCCUGUGUACCUUAGUGACUUGUUCUUCAGGUCAAAAAUCUAUCCUGGCCUCCUAGAAUUUCUACAGACCAAGCAGACAGCUUGCUGCCAGUGCUCAGGCAAACCAGGGUGAAGUGUUUGGACAGCAACAGUUUGAAAACAGCAGCUAAAGAGAAGAGGCUAUCAAGGGAAGGAAGAAAACUGAGGAGACGCAUUAGAAAGACCUUGACGUGAAUGUGUUAAGGCAGAAGCAGCAGAGAAUGAUAUACACUGAAUGAAAAAAUACAAGGACAUGCAACACCCAAGGCUAAACUGUUCUCUGAUGAUUACCUGCUUCUACUACUGAAGAUCCAAACUGCAGAACUUCUCCAUAUACCCAAGGCAGUAUCCAGUGGGGAAUCAGCUUGGAAAGGAAGCAGACCAACUGUUCCAGCCCCUUCAUUCUGGUGACUGAUGGAAGAGUGGGAGAGGGGUGUACUUGUAUACUGGAUGGAAAACCCCACAAGUCCAAUUACUACUGUACCUCUUCAGUUUCUGUUACCAUAGAAUUCAGCAGCCUUAUUAUUUAUACUGUGUAUAAAUCCUUCAUUUGAAGUUUGGAGGUGAUAAGAGUUAAAAGAUGUUAAAGUCUUGAAAUAAUGCCCAUGUGAGGAAAUUUUGUUGUUUUUGCUUUUCGAGGUAGGAUCUCACUUUAUUUAGCUCAGUCUGACCUGGAAUUCACUGUGAACUCUCAGGGUGGCUUUGAACUCAGGCGAUCCGCCUACCUCUGCCUCCCGAGUGCUGGGGUUAAAGGCAUGUGCCUCCACGCCCAGCAUCUGAGGAAUUUUUUAACUAGUUUAUAAAAAAUAUCAUUGAUAUAAACUGCCCCUUCAUUUCCCCAACAGAGACUUCUUAGGUUGGAGACACAUGUUUUAAUAAUAGCUUGUCUCUAAUAUCCACAGUAGCUACCUCUAUGUGAGGAAAGGAUAGAAAACGUUCAGGACAUCAUACAGGCUCCUGAUCUACAAAGUUCCAGUCUGUAGCAGUGACGCCUACACAGAAGACUUGGAACUGCAAACAGGCUGGGGUCACCUCAGUGACAUCUGACGCUGUCCAACCAGAAGUUUGAUUUUUGUCUUGGGGUAUGUGUGUGAAAGAAGUAGACUUUACUAAAGGACUAAAAUAA
Long non-coding RNA from Jaculus jaculus (lesser Egyptian jerboa), 1785 nucleotides. RefSeq lists it as uncharacterized. The transcript is spliced from 3 exons. Lineage: Eukaryota; Metazoa; Chordata; Mammalia; Rodentia; Dipodidae. The record is from RefSeq and is a predicted model, not a curated record.